AUGGUCCAAUCAAAUGAGUUGAUGUUAGCGAAGACUUUGGAGACAAAGGAAGAGUUGGUCGAGAGAAGGGCACGAGAGAAGCAAGAGAAGUGCCAAUUGCUCAAGGAUGAGGGGUUGCCCAAGGCGGCCAUUGAGGUGAGAAGGGCAGGUGCCGCUGAGAACAAAGUCAUGUCCAAGCUUCUUGCCGAAGAGAAUAGGAUCAUGACAAUGAACCGCAAUGACAUGGACGACAUCACCAAAGAGUGGCAUGACAUGGCAAGGAGGGACAUCUUGAAGAGGAGGAUGCUUGCGUCGGUCGGUGCGUGUUACAGUGCAGGCGAUGUUUUCUCAUCGGGAUUUGGAACCAAUAUCGUCAACGCGUUCAGUGCGCCCGCCGGUGAUUUCGACACCGGAGUUGGAACAAGUGCAGGCGAUGGAUUCGAGGGCAGCGAUGACCUCGAUGGAGGUGGUGCGGAGUGA
This 459-nucleotide ribosomal RNA is filed under the name Triticum aestivum (bread wheat). Its description in RNAcentral is "partial small subunit ribosomal RNA". Lineage: Eukaryota; Viridiplantae; Streptophyta; Magnoliopsida; Poales; Poaceae. The record is from RNAcentral.